AUGCCUAGACUAAGAACACACGGCGUUAGAAGCCACUGGCGUCCCUUCCGAUCCACACACAUCCAUCAUCAGCGACUUUCCCCUUGCUACCAUGAACAAAUCAUAACCGUCUACCCGUUGCAGCACACCUCCGACGACUCACGCACAGAACACCGCACCACCGCUGGACUCGAGCCCUCCCUCCGAUCCGCUGUCGCCACCGGUAACCACCUUUCCUCUAAUGUCUUUUAA
Vicia faba (fava bean) is the source of this 231-nucleotide non-coding RNA. Lineage: Eukaryota; Viridiplantae; Streptophyta; Magnoliopsida; Fabales; Fabaceae. The record is from the annotation of a GenBank genome assembly.